Molecule: long non-coding RNA, 1273 nt
Organism: Oxyura jamaicensis (ruddy duck)
Lineage: Eukaryota; Metazoa; Chordata; Aves; Anseriformes; Anatidae
Exons: 2
Source: RefSeq, a predicted model, not a curated record
GGUGCACGAGAAGGCAGCUUGUCCAGAAGGUCUCCAGGAAGGACAUCUUGGGCAGCUGGAUUAUUUCAAAUGGCUCAAAAUGCCUCGAGUAAUGAAACUCUCGGCCCUGAAUCUUGACCAGUGGAUGGAAAGCAGGUCAGGCUAAAGCAGACGCUUGCUGGGCUGAAUCACCUUCCAGCAGCCGCACCGACAACGUCUCCAUUGACUGCGUGAGGGUGUUCAGACACCCAGCGACAUCCUCAGCUGGGCGGGUGAUUAUAGGUUUCCUCACCUGCAAACUGAACGUCUCUGCAGAGCUCCCUGGAUUCUGAAGGAAAUUUAAGGCAGCUACAUUUAAGUUGUCUACACUUAGCCAGAUGAAUCCCGCCUCCAAUGCAAAAUGCAAGAGCCUUCACCUCUCUGCACGUAUUUGCUGUAUUUUUCACGAGCAGUCAGAGGAAUAAAAUGGGAAUGAGUCAUGAAGAAACUUCUUCCUGUAAUGGUAACACGAGAGCACAGAGAUGCACUUUAUUUGGCUUCGUUACUGGCACGGCACUGCCAAAAUAAAAGCAGCCAACCACACAAGCCAGCGUCGAAGCACUUAUGACCUUUGCCCAGCAAAGGUUCACGGAUGAACCUCUGCAGCAUCCUUGCUGGCUCGGCAGGAGGCUGCUCCGUGCCACGAAGCUCUCCUACCUCCAUCCUCCUGGCCCAGAGCUGGUAAUUAUUUCUUUCUGCAGAGAGCUGCUGAAAACAGCUCUCUGCUAUUCGGGAUAUGCUUACUGAUGCCUUUAGCAGGCUUUCAAUACCUUCAGCCCUUCCGAGGGUCUGAUUGUCUCACCUGUGCUCCCCCCCCUCGGUUAUAACCACGUGCAAAUUACAACAACUGCUUGGGAUGCAACAAGUGACGGCUGCCUGGAGGAACUCACCUCUUGCUACAGGAGCGUCCAGACAUGAAAUUGCACCAAAUUACAGAAAAAGAGUGCUGACCCAAGAAUCCCAUGUGGUUGAGUCAGGCUGCUCCAGUAGGGAUGGGGAGUAAUUGAUGUACCGGAGAUGAUGACCUUUGCUGGGCUGAGACUGCAUCUCUCUGUUAUUCCUUCUUUUUUAUUUUUAUUUUUUUUCUUGAAGUCCUAUCUGCAUGCGGUUUGUUUUCAUCCAGCCCGAGAUGGAUGGUGCACGGAUUUAAUGAGGUCGUGUUUUCCCACCAGUUCCAUUUGUAGCCAUUUAAUGUUCAGCUCUGAGUAGUAGAUUGAGUUAAAGGCUAUUUAAAAGUCUAUGAUGCAGACAAGCA